Molecule: ribosomal RNA, 236 nt
Filed under: uncultured bacterium
Lineage: Bacteria
Description: partial 16S ribosomal RNA
Rfam family: Bacterial small subunit ribosomal RNA
Source: RNAcentral
GACGAACGCUGGCGGCGUGCCUAAUACAUGCAAGUUGAGCGCUGAAGGUUGGUACUUGUACCGACUGGAUGAGCAGCGAACGGGUGAGUAACGCGUGGGGAAUCUGCCUUUGAGCGGGGGACAACAUUUGGAAACGAAUGCUAAUACCGCAUAAAAACUUUAAACACAAGUUUUAAAGUUUGAAAGAUGCAAUUGCAUCAACUCAAAGAUGAUCCCGCGUUGUAUUAGCUAGUUGG